This 541-nucleotide unclassified non-coding RNA is filed under the name Hevea brasiliensis (rubber tree). Lineage: Eukaryota; Viridiplantae; Streptophyta; Magnoliopsida; Malpighiales; Euphorbiaceae. The record is from RNAcentral.
UUUGCUGGGGGAGGUCUUGUUUAUGGAACCAAGGAAGGGAAACUUAGGGUCCUUCGAUUUGAUGGUGCUCAUGGUGUGAAUUGCUGUAGACCAAAUUAUUCUCCAGAAGAUAACUUGGCUGAGGUCCAGACAUAUGCACUAGAAGGUUAGAAACCCACUGUUAUGCUUCCAAUGUGUGAACCGUGAACCAUGAAAAUCUACUUGGAUGAAGAAGAGUCUUGGUUAUGGAUGAGGCUCAAAUUAAACAUAUGGGUGAGUUUGAAUACGCUUAAACUUGGCAGCAUUCCCUACUGAUAGGAAUCUUGAUACCUGGUUUGAAUCAGAUGUGACCAACUGUUGGGUUCUUCACUUGCCCAUUUUCCCCCUCCAGCAUCCAGCAGCAAACUCUAGGAAUGUAUUCUAAUUUUUAUGUUAGGAAAUGUAAAAUAUUGUGUCUCAGUAAUGAACUAUUACAAGUUUGUUUGCUUUUCCCAUUUUCCAAUCCUGCUUUUUCUCAUCUUCCGGCAGAAUGUUUAAAAUGUAUUGAUUACCAAUCGAACAG